AGCUCCAUCAGUGUAUAUUAACGUUGUUGCGGUUAAAAAGCUCGUAGUCGACGAUAGGAGAAGGUGAGAACGAGGAUGCCCGAAUUGGGUGGUCCGGUUCGGCCUCUCCAGAUGUUAGGGUAGAGGGUGGGGGGGCUUUGCGGCUCUCUCAUAUUUCCACUCCCUAUAGUUUACUUUGAUAAAAUCAGAGUGUUCAAAGCAGGCGUCACUUGCCUUGAAUGUUGCCGCAAGGGAUAAUGGAAUAUGACUUUGGUCUUAUUUUGUUGGUUUCUAGGGCUGAAGUAAUGACUAAUAGGGACAGUUGGGGGCGCUCGUAUUGAGUUGUCAGAGGUGAAAUUCUAGGAUUUACUCAAGACGAACUAGUGCGAAAGCAUUCGCCAAGGAUGUUUUCAUUGAUCAA
This 400-nucleotide ribosomal RNA is filed under the name phytoplankton environmental sample. Its description in RNAcentral is "partial small subunit ribosomal RNA". It matches the Rfam family "Eukaryotic small subunit ribosomal RNA", at positions 587 to 980 of the family's 1831-position model. The record is from RNAcentral.